This 791-nucleotide small RNA is filed under the name Histoplasma capsulatum var. duboisii H88. RNAcentral describes it as "Histoplasma capsulatum H88 hypothetical RNA". Lineage: Eukaryota; Fungi; Ascomycota; Eurotiomycetes; Onygenales; Ajellomycetaceae. The record is from RNAcentral.
CAAAAGUUUGGAUUAUUGUUCCAGAUAUUUGACUCAUGCACACUCUGCAGAGGGGAUCGCACGUUGGCAAUACCCUAAUGGAUGUCCCGGACAUCUAGGCCCAAUCAGGAUAUUUGCUGUUGUGCCUUGCAUAUCCUGACGGGCGAGGUGUAUUGGUUGGAAUUCCACCAGUAAGCCCAAUCCUUUUCUAGUGUUUGUUUGCUACAUAAGCCAUUUCUGGAGGACCGGGAGCAAUUAAAAAAGGCAAGCCCAACUCAGCUCUUCGUCAAUUAUUUCCUCACUGCUCCAUCCGCCAGGUCGUCAAUCAGCAUAUCGGUUAACAAUAGCCGUACAUAUCCGUGCGCAUGGCGAGCAAAAUACAGCGGAGGAACUGCCUGGCGGCUAUUUUCCUGUUUGACCGCUCGAUUUCGUUACGCGAUGACCGAAACGCUAUUUUGAGGAUAGAACAAUAGGAAGCGAUUUCCGAACACCGAUUGCAAAUUCACCUUGACGAUACUCCGUAAUAAUGCCCAACAUCUACCAUCGCCCACUCUAACCUCAUAUUUUGAGCAAGUCAAGAUGUUUUUGGAUCUUCCCCAAUGAUAAUCCAGCGGUUGGAGGUCUCUAGUUAACCUGGUAUUCGGACCCGUUUUCCGCUCCCAUUGUCAUGGAGCUGGAUACCACGAUUCUUUCGGCGUGGCUAAACGCUAUCUCUAUUUGGUAUUUAAUGAGCGAUAGAAAGGAAAUGAAGGUGAAGUCAAUCCUAACUUUUCUUUCCGGUACUAUUGCCGAAAAUAUUGAUAUUACGCCCC